Molecule: long non-coding RNA, 1649 nt
Organism: Planococcus citri (citrus mealybug)
Lineage: Eukaryota; Metazoa; Arthropoda; Insecta; Hemiptera; Pseudococcidae
Exons: 5
Source: RefSeq, a predicted model, not a curated record
UUGAACGAAUAUUAUUGAAAACAAAAAAAUCAAUUAUUGUAAAAAUUGUAGGAAUUGUGGUAAAAAGGAUAUAAAAUUCGCGUUGAAAGUAAUCAUUGAAAAUAUUCAUUAAAAAUUACUAAAAAAUUCAUGUAGGUACCUAUUUCAUAUCAGCAAAAUUGAUCGAAAAAUGCCCGUUAAUACGUGGUAACUUACUAUUAGGUCAAAUGAGAAAACAAAAGGAAUUUGAGAACAGUUGAGAAUUGAUAAGACAUCCGAUAAUUUUGAGCUCAAAAUACCGAAUAAUUAAUUCAGAAACAGUUUCUGAUUCUGAUUUCUCAUUUUGGUUGAACUGGUUUCAACUUUCAACCAAUGAGAAAUGUUAAAAUUUGAACGUAUUUAUACUGAAAUUACCUCGUAAUUCUUUCGUUUAUAAAUAAAAUAUGGCGAUGCGGACGACCGCUUCAACAUUGCAUGACGUCACUGUCGACAGUGUGUAUUUUCAUCUUGGGGAAGCUUAUUUUGCUCAUUAUAGUCAUUUUGGAGCAGUCGUGAGUACAUACUGUAUUUACAACAUUACAUUUUCAGUGAAUGUCUCAUUUUCAUCGUUCAAUGUACAUUGAAAUAAUGUACCCGAGUAGAAAAAGAAUAAAGUUAACGAAAUCGAAGCGUGAUUCCAAGUCUAGUUUUAAAAGCGCAGCUGUUGUUCAAUGUCACUCCGAUUCUGAUUCGGAUGUUGAAACAUACUACAUGGUUUAUACAGAACUGCUAAAAACUAUGCAAGUCGCUAAUUCCAAAAAAGCCCUUUCCAAAGAAGAAAAAAUUACGGCUAUCCUUGGAUAUUACAUGGAGCGUGAAAAAUUCACGCGUAUUGAACCGAAUAAAUAUCAUCUUUAUGUUGUGGAUAUUAAGGAGCCUUUUACGUUUGAAGUUAAGAUGACUGAUGCCGACACGGCACAAAUUAAACGACUCCCUCAUCCUGAUACUAAACAUCGGGUGAAUUCGAGUUGUUUAUCAUUUACGUACAAAACUCCCAUCACUCAAAGAAAAAAGUACUAGGAGAGACUUGCAGAUUCUUGAAAGCCAAGUUAGAGAGCUUCACAAUGCAUUUAAAAUAACAUGGGAAUCGAUCUCCGUUGAUGGAGCGUAUUCUACUUCCGAGCUGGACUCGGACAAAGAUCUACCUGAAUAGAAAUGCUGACUUCUCUGGUUGUACAACUACACUUCACUCAACUAGUGGCAGGGUAAUCUAAUUAUUUGCUGAUGCUGCGAUAUCUUGGUUUAGUCGACAUCAAGAGCUAGUUGCUGAUUCUAUACAUGUGAAUCUGAGAUCAUGGUUGCAAAUGCGAUGUCAAAAGAAGUUGUUUGGACUUCAUGUUUAUUCAUUGAACAGAAGUGAUAAAUUUUGAAUAAAAAUCCAAUUUUGUACAUUGAUAGUGAUGCUGAAAAAAGAAUUUUUGAAAAUAAUGAACUUCAUUCGAGAACAAAACAUAUUCAACAAAAGCAUUAGUUUAUUUGUGAAUGCACUAAAGAUGAAAUGUUGAAUGUAUGUAAUGUACCUAGUUCACAUAGAUAUAGUCAGUAAUUUACCUGAUGUUUUUACAAAACCUUUACCAUGAUUGUGAAAUGUUUUAAUAUCCUUUGAUCAAAAUUAGGAUUAUUAUAAUUAU